RNAcentral lists this ribosomal RNA (253 nucleotides) under uncultured bacterium. RNAcentral describes it as "partial 16S ribosomal RNA". It matches the Rfam family "Bacterial small subunit ribosomal RNA", at positions 524 to 776 of the family's 1533-position model. The record is from RNAcentral.
UACGUAGGGUGCAAGCGUUGUCCGGAAUUAUUGGGCGUAAAGAGCGUGUAGGCGGCCCGGUUAGUCCGCUGUGAAAGUCCAGGGCUCAACCCUGGAAUGCCGGUGGAUACUGUCGGGCUAGAGUCCGGAAGGGGCGAGUGGAAUUCCUGGUGUAGCGGUGAAAUGCGCAGAUAUCAGGAGGAACACCGAUGGCGAAGGCAGGUCUCUGGGCCACUACUGACGCUGAGAAGCGAAAGCAUGGGGAGCGAACAGG